Molecule: ribosomal RNA, 497 nt
Filed under: uncultured bacterium
Lineage: Bacteria
Description: partial 16S ribosomal RNA
Rfam family: Bacterial small subunit ribosomal RNA
Source: RNAcentral
GAUGAACGCUGGCGGCGUGCCUAAUACAUGCAAGUCGAGCGAACGGACGAGACGCUUGCUUUUCUGAUGUUAGCGGCGGACGGGUGAGUAACACGUGGAUAACCUACCUAUAAGACUUGGAUAACUUCGGGAAACCGGAGCUAAUACCGGAUAAUAUUUUGAACCGCAUGGUUCAAAAGUGAAAGACGGUCUUGCUGUCACUUAUAGAUGGAUCCGAGCUGCAUUAGCUAGUUGGUAAGGUAACGGCUUACCAAGGCAACGAUGCAUAGCCGACCUGAGAGGGGGGUAGGCCACACUGGAACGGGGCCACGGUCCAUACGACUAAGGGAGGCAGCAGUAGGGUAUCUUCCGCAAUGGGCGAAAGCCUUACGGAGCAACGGCGAGUGAGUGAUGAAGGUCUUCGGAUAGUAAAAAUCUGUUAUGAGGGAAGAACAUAUGUGUAAGUAACUGUGCACAUCUUGACGGUACCUAAUCAGAAAGCCACGGCUAACUACGUG